This 429-nucleotide long non-coding RNA is filed under the name Felis catus (domestic cat). RNAcentral describes it as "lncRNA (ENSFCAG00000052575.1)". Lineage: Eukaryota; Metazoa; Chordata; Mammalia; Carnivora; Felidae. The record is from RNAcentral.
GAGGGAGACACAGAAUCGGAAACAGGCUCCAGGCUCUGAGCCAUCAGCCCAGAGCCUGACGCGGGGCUCGAACUCACGGACCGCGAGAUCGUGACCUGAGCUGAAGUCAGACGCUUAACCCACUGAGCCACCCAGGCGCCCCGUCAGUGUAACUUUCAGCUCCACUCCCCACUCCAGAAAUAGGAGAAACUUGGCAGAAUCAGCGGAACGUGUGUGACCUUCACUGCAUUGUUGAAUGAUUGCCCAUCAGAAAAUACAAAGAGUAAAAGACUACUAGGCAAGGCUACACCUCUCUCAAGAGUCAUAGUACAAGUUCCCUGCAGGGCUGAGUUGGAAGCUGAUUGAUAUCACACUGAAUGACUUCACCCCUUCAACAGCUUAACUUCCUUUUGUGUUGAGCAUCAGCCAAAUAUAUUGACCUAAACCUUG